UCUACAUAAAUCAGACUAAAUAUUAUUUUACAUUCUACACUAUUAAAAACCAAAUGUCUACUUUUCACGGGACAUAUUCUCCUUUCCAUUUCUUCCCUUACCUCUCUUAUUUUUGUAAUCCUAAAAAAUCACACAAUAGAUUCACGGGAGAAAGAAAAUUGCAAAUGGAACAACAAAAAGAAGGGAUCACACAAUCUCUGAUAUAAGUCUCGUCAAGACUAGAGGAGGUUUAGCCACCCACCACCAAAAAGGCCAUAACUUGAGCUCUGAAUAUCGGAUUGACGCAUGUGAGCAGACGUUGGAAAGCUAAAAAUUAGAGCUACAACUUUUGUGUUGGAAUAAAAGCUCAAUGCCGAACUUUACUGGGCCUAAAUUGUAGAUUUCUUAAUCUGGACUUUUGUAAUAAUUUUAAAUAGUGGGCCACUUAUUUUUAAAGCCCAAAAUCGAGUACUGUAUAUUGGGAAUUUCUUUCCUUUCUUAGGUAUUGGUAUUUUUCGGAUUAAAAUUCAAAAA
Long non-coding RNA from Cicer arietinum (chickpea), 513 nucleotides. RefSeq lists it as uncharacterized. NCBI's taxonomy places the organism in Eukaryota, Viridiplantae, Streptophyta, Magnoliopsida, Fabales, Fabaceae. The record is from RefSeq and is a predicted model, not a curated record.